GGAGAGGUAAGUUAAAUUGAAACUAUGUGACUCAUGCUCACACAUUAAAUAUUUGUAUUUCUUCUCUU
This 68-nucleotide transfer RNA is filed under the name Haematoloechus sp. CW13H. RNAcentral's name for it is "tRNA-Met". Lineage: Eukaryota; Metazoa; Platyhelminthes; Trematoda; Plagiorchiida; Haematoloechidae. The record is from RNAcentral.